GCCGGCGUGGCGCAACUGGCAGCGCAGCCGACUUGUAAUCGGCAGGUUCCCGGUUCGAGUCCGGGCGUCGGCUCCA
RNAcentral lists this transfer RNA (76 nucleotides) under Actinomycetota bacterium. Its description in RNAcentral is "Actinobacteria bacterium tRNA-Thr". It matches the Rfam family "tRNA". From Rfam's summary of the family: Transfer RNA (tRNA) molecules are approximately 80 nucleotides in length. Their secondary structure includes four short double-helical elements and three loops (D, anti-codon, and T loops). The record is from RNAcentral. Lineage: Bacteria; Bacillati; Actinomycetota.